RNAcentral lists this ribosomal RNA (253 nucleotides) under uncultured bacterium. Its description in RNAcentral is "partial 16S ribosomal RNA". It matches the Rfam family "Bacterial small subunit ribosomal RNA", at positions 524 to 776 of the family's 1533-position model. The record is from RNAcentral.
UACGGGGGGGGCAAGCGUUGUUCGGAAUUACUGGGCGUAAAGGGCUCGUAGGCGGCCAACUAAGUCAGACGUGAAAUCCCUCGGCUUAACCGGGGAACUGCGUCUGAUACUGGAUGGCUUGAGUUUGGGAGAGGGAUGCGGAAUUCCAGGUGUAGCGGUGAAAUGCGUAGAUAUCUGGAGGAACACCGGUGGCGAAGGCAGGUUACUGGGCAUUAUCUGACGCUGAGGCGCGAAAGCGUGGGUAGCAAACAGG